AGCCUGAUGCAGCGACGCCGCGUGAGGGAUGAAGGCCUUCGGGUUGUAAACCUCUUUCAGUAGGGAAGAAGCGAAAGUGACGGUACCUGCAGAAGAAGCGCCGGCUAACUACGUGCCAGCAGCCGCGGUAAUACGUAGGGCGCAAGCGUUAUCCGGAAUUAUUGGGCGUAAAGAGCUCGUAGGCGGUUUGUCGCGUCUGCCGUGAAAGUCCGGGGCUUAACUCCGGAUCUGCGGUGGGUACGGGCAGACUUGAGUGAUGUAGGGGAGACUGGAAUUCCUGGUGUAGCGGUGAAAUGCGCAGAUAUCAGGAGGAACACCGAUGGCGAAGGCAGGUCUCUGGGCAUUAACUGACGCUGAGGAGCGAAAGCAUGGGGAGCGAACAGGAUUAGAUACCCUGGUAGUCCAUGCCGUAAACGUUGGGCACUAGGUGUGGGGGACAUUCCACGUUUUCCGCGCCGUAGCUAACGCAUUAAGUGCCCCGCCUGGGGAGUACGGCCGCAAGGCUAAAACUCAAA
RNAcentral lists this ribosomal RNA (515 nucleotides) under Arthrobacter flavus. RNAcentral's name for it is "bacterial SSU rRNA". It matches the Rfam family "Bacterial small subunit ribosomal RNA", at positions 380 to 905 of the family's 1533-position model. Lineage: Bacteria; Bacillati; Actinomycetota; Actinomycetes; Micrococcales; Micrococcaceae. The record is from RNAcentral.